AGACUGGGAUAACCAUUGGAAACAAUAGCUAAUACCGGAUAUAGUUAUUUAUCGCAUGAUAAAUAAUAGAAAGGAGCUUCACGGCUUCACUUAGAAAUGGGGGUGCGCAACAUUAGUUAGUUGGUAGGGUAAUGGCCUACCAAGACGAUGAUGUUUAGCCGGGCCGAGAGGCUGUACGGCCACACUGGGACUGAGAUACGGCCCAGACUCCUACGGGAGGCAGCAGUAAGGAAUUUUCCACAAUGAGCGAAAGCUUGAUGGAGCGACACAGCGUGCAGGAUGAAGUUCUUCGGAAUGUAAACUGCUGUUAUAAGGGAAGAAAAAAUAGAAUAGGAAAUGAUUUUAUCUUGACGGUACCUUAUUAGAAAGCGACGGCAAACUAUG
This 384-nucleotide ribosomal RNA is filed under the name Mesomycoplasma hyorhinis. RNAcentral's name for it is "bacterial SSU rRNA". It matches the Rfam family "Bacterial small subunit ribosomal RNA", at positions 135 to 505 of the family's 1533-position model. The record is from RNAcentral. Lineage: Bacteria; Bacillati; Mycoplasmatota; Mycoplasmoidales; Metamycoplasmataceae.